CAAUGGCGUAAACAAAGGGAAGCGAGACGGCGACGUCAAGCAAAUCCCAGAAAUAACGUCCCAGUUCGGAUUGUAGUCUGCAACCCGACUACAUGAAGCUGGAAUCGCUAGUAAUCGCGGAUCAGAAUGCCGCGGUGAAUACGUUCCCGGGUCUUGUACACACCGCCCGUCACACCAUGGGAGUCGGAAAUGCCCGAAGUCAGUGACCCAACCGUAAGGAGGGAGCUGCCGAAGGUGGAGCCGGUAACUGGGGUGAAGUCGUAACAAGGUACC
This 273-nucleotide ribosomal RNA is filed under the name uncultured bacterium. Its description in RNAcentral is "partial 16S ribosomal RNA". It matches the Rfam family "Bacterial small subunit ribosomal RNA", at positions 1228 to 1500 of the family's 1533-position model. The record is from RNAcentral.